RNAcentral lists this ribosomal RNA (250 nucleotides) under uncultured bacterium. RNAcentral describes it as "partial 16S ribosomal RNA". It matches the Rfam family "Bacterial small subunit ribosomal RNA", at positions 524 to 773 of the family's 1533-position model. The record is from RNAcentral.
UACAGAGGGUGCGAGCGUUAAUCGGAAUGACUGGGCGUAAAGGGCGCGUAGGUGGUUUAUUAAGUGAGUUGUGAAAUUCCUGGGCUUAACCUAGGGACUGCAAAUUAGACUGAUAAGCUGGAGUGCAGCAGAGGGUAGAAGAAUUUCCGGUGUAGCGGUGAAAUGCGUAGAUAUCGGAAGGAAUACCGGUGGCGAAGGCGGCUACCUGGGCUGAGACUGACACUGAGGCGCGAGAGCGUGGGUAGCAAAC